AGUAUAAGACAGUUUUCACCAACCCGACUGCUAUUAAAUGGCGCUUUAGCUCGGGUUGGUAAGUUUGAAAAACUGUCAAGCCCAGGACUGAAGUAUCCAUCCAGUAAACCCCGCGCCCUCACUCUCUCCAAAGCCACUCCCCCAAAUCCAUGAACACGCACUGUCUGACAACUGCCGAAUACCACCAACAGAGUCCGAGCCAUCAUGAGCGCCAAGAAGAAGAAGACCAUCAGUGAAUCGUUUUCAUCACAGCAUAAAACAACAAGUAGGAACCUCAUUGCCUAGCUUCCACAAUGACAGCAUUGUUGAGUUUGAUGACAAGGGCACACCAGAGCUCAGCACAUCAUCACAUCAGAGAGGAAACAGAGGCAAAGGGCGUGGACAUGGGAGGGUGACAGGUCAAGGAGAGGAUGUUCAUAGAUCGAGUAGAAGAUCUCUUAGCUCAAAGGACUGCACAAGAGCAGGCCAGAAUUCAAGGACUUUGCGCAACACCUAUGUAUUUGUUGUUUUGUAUUUACCUCUUGUUAUGCAUUACCUCUAAGCUGUUUGAAUAAAGUCUUGAAAAUGA
Acanthopagrus latus (yellowfin seabream) is the source of this 568-nucleotide long non-coding RNA. RefSeq lists it as uncharacterized. The record is from RefSeq and is a predicted model, not a curated record. The transcript has 3 exons. NCBI's taxonomy places the organism in Eukaryota, Metazoa, Chordata, Actinopteri, Spariformes, Sparidae.